UUCAUAUCCACACCCCUCCGGUGACGCAAUCGUAAUUUUCAACGUUGGACAUUUUUUGCGAACUGUGUAGAUCUUGAAAACAGCCGACGCCUUUUAUCAUUGUAAAAACAACAUACUUGAACAAAAGCAGGUGAGAUGGCAGUGAGGCAAAGGAUCUUUAACUCGACCAGACCGUUCUCAGGGUCACCCCAAAUAGAGCUGAAGGGGUCUUACCCAAGCCUCCCCAGCCCAGAAGACAGGACGAGUGACGAGGAGGUGAAGGAGAGCAAAGGGGACUUCAUGCCUUGUUUAAAACCCAGAAUAAUUAAAGUCCUAACGAAGGGCACAGCAGAACAAGUGGGUGAAGCAGGUCCACUGAACUAUCAAAAGAACUCGUUCAUAGCCCAGGCUGAAUGUGAAACCCAAGACUCCCAGCAGUUCAGCCCUUCCUGCUCUGAACGCUCCUAUGUCGGGUCCCCCAACUGCUUAAUCAACCGGGACUCAUCAGAGCACAACAAUGUGGCGUGUUCCUCCGCAGCCUCCAACCAGGACCAACCAGGCUCCCCGGCCCACCGCUCACCCAGGAAGAAGCCAAGGAAGAAACAGAAGAGGAAGGAGAAGAAAGAGGAGCAGAGGGAGACAGGGAAGCAGAGACAGAGACGUAGAGUACCUUCUGGUGUCCCUGAGCAGGAGACCCAGACUGGCAGUUCUCCUCAACUGAUCCAGACCCAGCAGGACGCUUCAGAGCACCAAAGUAACAUCAGCACUUCAUACAGUAGCAGUAUCCCGAGUUUAGAGGCGCAUGACGCAAGACGCCCCCCUUACCCCCUCCAGGACUGCAACAGGGGCCCCAGCCAUUCCCACCUCUACUGGGGCCCCCAGGUGUUUAGCCCCCCCUCCAACCUCUCCACCUAUGGGCAGGAGAGUGACUCAGACUCUCCUCUCAGCAGUGUGGGAGACUGUUCGUUAGCCCUAGCAGGGCUCAGGGGCAGUGUCAGUCAGGAGGACCGAUGCUACGCAGGUCCCUUCUGCAAAGACUUCUGCAAAGACGUGGAAAGAGAUGUCAGGGAGAAGGAGGGAGAAGUCUCAGAGACUGACACCAACGAGGGCCUGAUCUUCAAUAAGAAUAUUCAGCCUGUGAAUUAUGAGUACAGGGAGGGGAAGGACUACAGCCUCUGCAAGUCUAUCAACACAGGGUCAUACGGGGAAGUGCACAGUGUGCAAGACAACAGAACACACUUCAGAUUUGGCGCCAAAAAGAUUCUCCUGAAGAGUUUUAGUAGUGAGGAAGUGGGUACGUGGAGUGCCCUGAAGUCUCCUCGCGUGGUGGAACUCUUCGGAGUGAUCAGAGAGGGGCCCUACGUCGUCCUCUUCAUGGACCUCAAAGCUGGCUCUGUGGGUCAGCUUAUUAAAGAGAGGGGUCGGCUACCUGAGGACCUGGCCCUGCACUACCACUGUCAGGUCCUUGAGGCGCUGGAACAUCUGCUGAAGAGACGAGUGCUGCAUCUGGACAUAAAGGCGGACAAUGUGUUGCUGUCAGAGGAUGGGAGGGACACUUUUCUGUGUGACUUUGGACAAUCUGAGAGAAUGGACAUCGGUGGACAGAGCCUAAGUGCAUCCCAAGGAGAUCUGAAGGGGACAGAGACACACAUGGCCCCGGAGAUUGUGAAAGGGGAAACCCGCGGAGCCAAAGCAGACGUGUGGAGCAGCUGCUGCAUGUUACUGCACAUGCUCAAUGGCUGCCAGCCCUGGACACGAUACUACUCCCGCCCACUGUACUUCAAGAUAGCCAAUGAACCACCGCCUCUGAGAGAGAUCCCGCCCGAUUGCAGUCCCUUCACUGCUGAUGUCAUAAAGGUGGGACUACAGAAGGAGCCCACCAAGAGGGCCUCCGCCUCGGAGCUCAAGGGAAGAGCAGCCAGAGCUCUGAGAGAAGUGGGAGGACUCAGCAGCCCCAUUAGAGGGUUCUAUAAGGAGCCCCUACAGAUAGAUGACAGCCCCAGCCAGUCUAGCCAGCCCUGGCCACCCUUUAGCAGAGACACCUGCUCUGAGGAGAGCCCUGAGCUAUGGCUGGAAUCCAUGAACCCAGGGAGCAGGGAGCUGAACAAUGAUGAGGAGGAGGAAGGCAGUGAGGCAGACACAGAGGAGACAGCCUCACCUCGCUCUCUACUGACACAACUCCAUGAAUGGCAAAAUCCCAAGAUGGCCGACGGCACCUCCAACGUAUCUGAGCUGGAACUGCGCAAGCUGGAGAGAGAGUUUUACCUGACCAGUCUGUCUCAGCUGCACUCAGCAGAAACCCAGGAGCAGCUACUGUCCUGCCUGAGCAGCAGUGACUGUUACUCCAACAGGGACUUAUGGGACAGAAAGGACUCUGGCCGUUGGUCCAUCAGCCCAGGUGACGACCUCAGCUCCGGUGUGUUCUCCUACAACAGCCAACCGGACGGACAGAUUCUCAGUAUGGACUGGCUGGUUCACCAAAGCCACCUGUCUCCACCCCGAUGCUUUGAGGGAGUUGACGUCUGCAUCACGGGCGUAAAUGGGCAAAGCAUCCGGAUACGAGAGAAACGCAGGGUGAAGGUGGGCCACAUCGCCACGGGGAUCAGCGACCAGAUCUCCGAGAGGGUGUUCACCAUGGAGACUCAGGAGCGGGAGCCAGUGGCCCAUGAUGAGGAGGUGCAGGACUCUGGCCUCCUGCUCCGCUGUGUCCCUGCUCCUGACUACUGCCAGGCCUGGAGAUGGAGGGUCAAGGAGGGGGUGCUGGAGACUCGUGACUGAGCCAUUAACUCCCCCCACUCAUCGGUAGCAGUCACAUCAAGCAUCAGGACUGUGAACUCACUCUUGCUCUCCUCCCCCUCACAUCUUGCGGAUGACCAGCACAGUAGUAAGAACUCCAGCGAGGAACACCCCCACGGUCUGCCAGGUGGGAGUGCCAAAGUAGGAACGGAUUCCCUCCUAAGAAUUAGGAAGACACACCAUUGUCUUCAACCACCACCACAAUUUCAAAAAGACAUCUGUAAAAAAAACAUGUCAAUAUGGGGAAAGCACAUCUACGGAUUCCUUACCCAGCCACCCUGAUCCCUAAUCCAGUUGAUCACAUGAUCUCGCAGGUAGUCUGUAGCCCAGCUGAUAAUGGUUCUGAUGAUGUCGGGGACCUUGGUCAACAGAGCCUGAGGAGAGAAAGACGAUGCAGUCUUAUUGCACAACGAAGAAGCCAACUCAUCACAAAACGUGUAAAUUUCAGUUCCAUUCCAAGCGCUGCGGUUUACAAAAGUGACUCUAUUCUGACUGAGAUGAGCCCUGUUUCCUUUGUCUAACAGAGGACAAGAGAGUGCGAGAAUGAUUGAGAGAGAAAGGAGAGCUAAAUAAAAUACUACCACUCUCCACCCUCACCUUGAUGACCAGCCGACAGGCAAAGUAGAAAAGUGCCACCACCCUGCCCCAGUUGAACUUUCCAUCAGAGAAGAUCUCACGGGCCACUCUCAUAAAAACAUCAUGGCUGGGCUGGAGUGCAGUAUCAUUUAACAUACUGAAGGGGAAAACAAGAGAUGCUCUAAGUAUUGUACAAAUUCCAGAGGUCAAUUUAAGCAAAGAGCUGGAGUCCCUUUCUAAGUCCUUGAUUUAAGAUACCUUUGGAGUUGUGUAUUGCCAUCCAGCUCAUCUCCAAUCUGCUGCAGGCAAAGGGCCAGUUUCUUGUGGUUGGGGUUACACAGCUCACUCCCGCCCAACUGGGUCCGUGUCACUGACAACUGAGUACUGCUGUCAGCAUGGCGAAGAACCCGCUCGUAGAUGAAACUGCGAAGAGAGGGUCCCGGCUAAACAACUAGCUAGUAUAUUUUGAUCCUUGUCUGAUUAAUCAGGCUGUAACAAACAAUUAACUGGUACAGUGGGGAGAACAAGUAUUUGAUAACCUGCAAAAAUCGGCAGUGUUUCCUACUUACAAAGCAUGUAGAGGUCAAAUUUUUUAUCAUAGGUACACUUCAACUGUGAGAGACGGAAUUAUAAAACAAAAAUCCAGAAAAUCACAUUAUGAUUUUUAAGUAAUUAAUUUGCAUUUAUUGCAUGACAUAAGUAUUUGAUACAUCAGAAAAGCAGAACUUAAUAUUUGGUGCAGAAACCUUUGUUUGCAAUUACAGAGAUCAUAUGUUCCCUGUAGUUCUUGACCAGGUUUGCACACACUGCAGCAGGGAUUUUGGCCCACUCCUCCAUACAGACCUUCUCCAGAUCCUUCAGGUUUCGGGGCUGUCGCUGGGAAAUACGGACUUUCAGCUUCCUCCAAAGAUUAUCUAUUGGGUUCAGGUCUGGAGACUGGCUAGGCCACUCCAGGACCUUGAGAUGCUUCUUACGGAGCCACUCCUUAGUUGCCCUGGCUGUGUGUUUUGGUUCGUUGUUAUGCAGGAAGACCCAGCCACGACCCAUCUUCAACGCUUUUACUAAGGAGGUUGUUGGCCAAGAUCUCACGAUACAUGGCCCCAUCCAUCCUCCCCUGAAUACGGUACAGUUGUCCUGUCCCCUUUGCAGAAAAGCAUCCCCAAAGAAUGUUUCCACCUCCAUGCUUCACGGUUGGGAUGGUGUUCUUGGGGUUGUACUCAUCCUUCUUCCUCCAACAGGGCGAGUGGAGUUUAGACCAAAAAGCUCUAUUUUUGUCUCAUCAGACCACAUGACCUUCUCCCAUUCCUCCUCUGGAUCAUCCAGAUGGUCAUUGGCAAACUUCAGACGGGCCUGGACAUGCGCUGGCUUGAGCAGGGGGACCUUGCGCGCGCUGCAGGAUUUUAAUCCAUGACGGCGUAGUGUGUUACUACUAGUAGUGUCCUUAUACAGCUCUCUGGUCUUGGCCAUUGUGGAGAGGUUGGAGUCUGUUUGAUUGAGUGUGUGGACAGGUGUCUUUUAUACAGGUAACGAGUUCAAACAGGUGCAGUUAAUACAGGUAAUGAGUGGAGAAUAGGAGGGCUUCUUAAAGAAAAACUAACAGGUCUGUGAGAGCCGGAAUUCUUACUGGUUGGUAGGCGAUCAAAUACUUAUGUCAUGCAAUAAAUGCAAAUGAAUUACUUAAAAAUCAUACGUGAUUUUUGUUUUAGAUUCCGUCUCUCGCAGUUGAAGUGUACCUAUGUCAGUAGAAUGAAAAUACACACCAGAACCAUAUACCUUGCAGAUCUCUAAAAAGUCUGGUAAACAAUAUUUCCCUGUGGAAAUGUCUCAAAUUUCGAGCGUCUGAAGGACAAACCGCACAGACAACCGGUAAUGCAAGUAUCAAUGGAAAUUGAUUCAACAUUCUGGCUUGUAAGGAACAUCUACACGAUUUGGCACUCCAAUGUUUCAGGCUAUAUCUACCAAUUAAAUUGUGUAUUUCAGCCUAAUUAAAUCAGGCAAUUGUGAAUAAAGAUCAAAUUCAGGAGUAAACAUGAAGGUAUACUCACUCUGUCAGUAAUGUUCUUCCCAGUUCUAGUACCUGAUCAGUUCCAUUACCUGAGAACACAAAGCAGCACUGGAGUCAGUACUACCAGGACAUAAACCAAGGGCAGGUAGAGGCAAUUUAAGACAAUGCCUAUGUGUGGGUAGUCUGGCAAAUACUGAAUUCUUGAAGUCCUCCUGACUGAGUCACGUGGGUAGCGUCAGCCAGGCUAAUGUAUGCGUGUCUGUCAAAUCGAAACUGGGCCGUCAUAAAAUAUGAUGUAAUGUUCUAAACAUGUUUGAAAUGUGACACACAAAGAUAUUCUUGAAUAAGUAGCUACUGAAGUAUGCAUGUCUCAUGACCAGUUCAGUGUGACAUUAAUUCAUGUAAAACAGUUAAAACACCAGCUGGCUCAUUUUCAGAAGUUGACUUGUCAGCUGACAUUAGUAACAGCUGGACUGGUCCAAGAUGUACUGCAGUUAGGCUAGUUGUCUGUGAUGUUUCUGGAAUGACAACAAUUAAGUACAAAGACUCAGACUGCCACAUCUGGCCCUCCCACCCCUACAGGAGGGCAGCUCCCACUCAGCCCAGUCCAAUCACUUCUGUGUCCUAGCACCCCAAUGGUGGAACCAGCUUCCCCCUGCCCAUCUUCUGAAAACCAGUGAAACCUUACCCCUUUAAAGAGUAUCUUAAAUAAUCACACAGCGCCCCCCCCCCCCCCCCCCCCCCCCCCCCCCCACUUUAGAGGGAAAAAUUUACUUUCCUAUAAUUGUGAUAUGUGGUUUACCCACCUUGCUCUCUUAAAAUAAGUACACUAACUGUAAAUCAUUCUGGAUGAGCUCGUCUGCUAAAUUACUAAAAUACUAAUUAAAACACAGCUAGCUAGCACUCACAUACUAAUCAGUCUGUAAUACACAAUUGGGUAUAUACAGCCUGAAACAAAUGCCUGCAAAAUCAUGUAAAUGUUCCUUUCCAGAAUGUUGAAUAAACUUUAAUUUAAACUUAC
This is an RNA transcript of Oncorhynchus kisutch (coho salmon), 6377 nucleotides long. It is a transcript of the gene named mitogen-activated protein kinase kinase kinase 14-like, with no coding region annotated. NCBI's taxonomy places the organism in Eukaryota, Metazoa, Chordata, Actinopteri, Salmoniformes, Salmonidae. The transcript is spliced from 17 exons. The record is from RefSeq and is a predicted model, not a curated record.